ACACCGGCAGCCCGAGUGGUGGCCACUAUUAUUGGGCCUAAAGCGUCCGUAGCCGGUCCGGUAAGUCCCUGUGGAAAUCCUCAGGCUCAACCUGAGGAAAUGCGGGGAUACUGCCGGACUCGGGGCCGGGAGACGCGGAGGGUACUCCAGGGGUAGCGGUGAAAUGCUGUAAUCCCUGGGGGACCACCAGUGGCGAAGGCGCUCCGCGAGAACGGGCCCGACGGUGAGGGACGAAAGCCAGGGGAGCGAACGGGAUUAGAAACCCUUGUAGUCC
This 274-nucleotide ribosomal RNA is filed under the name uncultured bacterium. RNAcentral's name for it is "partial 16S ribosomal RNA". It matches the Rfam family "Archaeal small subunit ribosomal RNA", at positions 473 to 747 of the family's 1478-position model. The record is from RNAcentral.